AACAAUCAGGAUUUCGUAAAAAUCAUUCAUGUAAUACUGCACUCAUUAGUUUAAUAGAUACUUGGUUAAAAGAUGUUGACAGUGGAAAAAUUAUCGGGACUGUAUUCUUAGACUUAAAGAAAGCCUUUGAUUUGGUUGACCAUGAAAUACUUUUGCAUAAACUUAAACUUUAUCAUUUUUCUGAAAAUGCCGUUAAGUUUUUUAAGUCAUAUCUUUCUAACAGAAUACAACUGGUUAAGAUAGGUAAUCUUCAAUCUCAGCCAAUGAAAAUAAUUUCCGGUGUUCCACAAGGCUCAAUAUUAGGACCUUUAUUAUUUCUAAUAUACAUAAAUGACAUAGCUUUCAUUGGUAAUGAUAUAAAAAUUGAUUUAUACGCAGACGAUUCUACUCUUUAUGAGUCCGGAGAUAAUAUAUCAAAAGUAGAAAUAAAACUUCAAGAUCAUUUAAAUAACAUUGACAAAUGGUGCAAAAUAAAUAAUAUGGCCUUAAAUCCAGAUAAAUCAAAAUGUAUGGUAAUAGGAACAAGACAAAAAGUAAAUAUUAUGAGAAAAUUAAUUCUUAAGAUAAAUGAAAUAGCUCUGGAAAAUGUAACUGAUCAAAAAGUAUUGGGUAUUUGCAUAGAUAACAACUUAAAAUGGCACUUGCAAAUUGACAAUGUUUGUAAAAAACUUAACGGAAAAAUUGCCUUAUUGAAAAAAAUAUCGUAUUUUUUGCACUUUGAUAUGAAAUUAUUGUUUUACAAUGCAUAUAUAUUGCCCAUUAUGGACUAUUGUUGUAUUAUAUGGGGUAAAGGACAGACCUGGGGUAAUCACUUAUCGUAAUCAUCGAUUUUUUAAUUGAUUACAUGAUUACACUGUAAUCAUCAUGUAAUUGAUUACCUUGCUCAAAAUUGAUUACAUUAAUUGUAAUUAAUCAAUUACAGCUUAAAUUCAGUCUGUAAUUAUGAUUACAAUUUGAUUGAUGUUGAUUACUUUCAGAUUUUACAUGAAACUAUUGAAAUUCAAAUGAUUUAUUUCACAUGUUACAGUUUAACUAAGGUAGUAAAUUAUCAAGUAAGACAUUUUAAGACAUCACUCACAAUGAAGAAAUAAGUUUUAAUCCAUACAGUUAACCAAAUUCUAACUGAAAGAUAGACAUCAUUGUUUGGCUGGUAUUCUAACCAAAAUGUCAAAUCAUUGGAUUUAUGAUGUCUUUGAAUUUCCUAAAGAAAAAUCUGGAAAUGUGACAGCACAGUGCAAAUUGUGCCCUAAGAAGAUAAAUGGAAACACUAAGUCACAUUCAAAUUUCAUUACCCACAUAAAGAGAGUUCAUUAUGAAACCUACACCAAGAAGACUGAGGACCAUUCCUAGUGUUACGGGUAAAAUUUUCCGUCCUGAUAGAUGCAGUCUGACUGACAGACGGUUUCAUGAACUUAUGAUGCUAAAUAUGAUAAAGUGAUGUGUCAGUAACUAGAAGUGUGUUAAAAUGAUGACUGAUGAUGAGCUGUAAAUCCUUUGUGUAUAUAAUGUAUAUAAUGUAUACUAGUAUAUUAAAUAGCAUUAAGAAACUUUUGUUUAUAGUUAUACAUAGAAUGUAAUCAAUUAUCAAUCAAUUACUUUCUGAAAGUAAUUGUAAUUUAAUUGAUUACAGAGGUAAGUCUGAGUAAUCAAUUGUAAUCAAUUACAAUAAAAUCUGAAAGUAAUUGUAAUUAAAUCAAUUACUGAUCAAUGUAAUCAUCCCCAGAUCUGGUAAAGGAAACACAAACUACAUAAAUAAUGUUUGUAAUUUACAAAAACGAAUUGCUAAAAUCAUUUUACAGCAACCUCAAAGAUCUCCGUCAAUAAAUCUAUUCGAAACUCUUAAUUGGUUACCGUUCCUUGACAGAUGUAAAUACCACACGGCGGUGCUUGUUUUUAAAACUUUAAAUAACAUGGCACCGACUUAUAUGACAGAACUGAUGACUUUAUCCGACAACAAAAUAUAUAACUUAAGAUCUAGGUCACGAAAAGAUAUUGUAUUAUGGACAAGACCUAAAACAAAUUAUAUUAAAGACACAUUUUCUUAUUAUGGCAUGAACAUUUGGAACAAUAUACCUUUAAAUAUUCGUAAUGUUAAUAACCAUAAAUGUUUUAAAGAAAAAUACAAAGCAUAUCUUGAUGUUCAUAUGAAUGAAUGAGUGAGUGAAUGAAUAAAUAUAUGAACGAACGAAUGAACGAACGAACGAAUGAUGCAAUAUACGUAUAUGUUUAAACAAAUUGUUGAGUGUCUGUCGAAAGUAUAUGAGUUGUAUUAUUCUUAAAAUUACAUAUUAUACAUUCAUUUUUCUACCUAUGCAUGUCCUGUUGUUGUUGUUUUCUAUUUCAGAAGGCCACAUUGGAAAUAAGAUAUAUAUGAUUGUUAUUGUAUGUUCUUAAUGUGUAACCUUCUUUAAAUAAAGAUAUUAUUAUUA
Ruditapes philippinarum (Manila clam) is the source of this 2429-nucleotide long non-coding RNA. RefSeq lists it as uncharacterized. NCBI's taxonomy places the organism in Eukaryota, Metazoa, Mollusca, Bivalvia, Venerida, Veneridae. The record is from RefSeq and is a predicted model, not a curated record. The transcript is spliced from 2 exons.